RNAcentral lists this transfer RNA (72 nucleotides) under Trichonephila inaurata madagascariensis. It matches the Rfam family "tRNA". From Rfam's summary of the family: Transfer RNA (tRNA) molecules are approximately 80 nucleotides in length. Lineage: Eukaryota; Metazoa; Arthropoda; Arachnida; Araneae; Nephilidae. The record is from Rfam by way of RNAcentral.
GUCCCAGUAGCGCAAUGGAUAGCGCUUUGGGCUCCAAAUCCAAAGACAGAGGGUUCAAUCCCUCCUGGUAUG